ACUUGAAUAGUUUAAUUUAAAACAUCAGUUUGUGGAAUUGAGGAUAUUUAUUUGAUUUUAAGUU
This 64-nucleotide transfer RNA is filed under the name Stheneboea repudiosa. RNAcentral describes it as "tRNA-His". The record is from RNAcentral. Lineage: Eukaryota; Metazoa; Arthropoda; Insecta; Phasmatodea; Lonchodidae.